GGGUUCGGAGGUGCUGGUGGCCUCGCUGGCGUAGAACGGCCUCAAACGGCAAGCAAGAACCACAAGCGGCCUCAGGCUCGAUCAGGCCGGCGGGAUCCGGACGAGAGGAGGAAGGAGGGACAGGUGGUCAAAGGGGUGAGGUGGUUCUCGGUGGGGUGGGGCAAAAGGGGAGCGGCCUCACGAACAAAGCGGCCUCGUGGGGCGGCGGGCUUCGAGAAACAUCGGAAGACAGUGGCACCGGAGGGGAGGUAAGGUGGGCAGGAGCCACGAGUAAGACGGAGACUUGCCCUUGCGUUGCAGCGGGACGUGGGAGGUCAUGGGAGUCGAAGGAGCCUAUAGCGACCUCAGCGGGCAAAGUAGCAGCCUGCGGGCGGAGACAUGGAGGAGGACAGUGGCGGGAGCAGCAGCAAGCGCCGGAGGGGACGCGGAGGAGAACGACCCUUACCUCCGCGGUCCGAGGCGGGUCGGACGUCCACGUGAGCCGAGCCGGCUUCCGGCGGACUCGGCCGGCGGUGUAGCGGCCGUCGCGCCGGGGAGGGGGCGGAGAAGACAGGGCGUGCCCCCUCGUCGCCCUCCUUCUUCUGUGGGCACGGAUCGGGGGGACGACGACCCGGGUCGGGCAGUCACCGGCUCCGCGGGGCGACUGCACCUAUUCACCACCGCGCUAAGGACCUCAAGCGAAGGAAGAGGACCUUCACAUAAAGGACUCAUGCAAAAGAGGAGAACUUUCGCAUAAGGAGAACAAGAAGUCCGCAUUUGCGCGAAAGGAGGUGCCUUUCGCAUAAAAGAGUUUAUGCAAAGACGGAAUAGGUGAGUCCCUGGAUAAACGCACUAUAAAAACGUCUUAUCAGGGACUAGAAGGUUGGCAAUGUUGAAAAGUUGGCAUUGAGGCUAAUUCGGGGGAGGCUCUCUCUUGGCAGGCUGCAAAGCAAGACGCCGAAGUGGCGUGAAGAAGGGUUUGAGAGGCAGUGGGGGUCCGUUCAGUGUUGUCGGUGAACGUACUAUCAAUACGUCAUCGGAACCUAAAAUUGAACUUAUUAUUUUCAAAUGGCAAUAGACAAACGAACAAACGGUGACAACAGCAACAAAGCCAAUACGAGCACCUAAGAACAGGUAGAAGUACGAUACAAUACUACGUAGUACUAUAGAACACGAUGAACGAUUAUAGUAAAAGUGUACAGUACGAACAACCGUCAUUAUGUACGACCAUCUUCAGUACAAGAAAGACUACGUACGAAUAGCAGACAAUAAGUCAUGGCAACAAUACAAAGAAGGCAACGUAGAUAAACCAAUGUACAAAUGAACCAUCACAAGAACGAUACAAGAACGUACCAUAAAUAAGUACUACGAUCACCAGUACUACACGAAUACCAUCUCAAUACGAACACAAUUAGUACGAGCAGUCAUACGGUACGAGUAAGCCUAUAUACAAAGUAACACCAAUACGAGCUACUAAUACAACGUGGAGGUACGAAUACAACUAUAGUACGAGUACGUAGUAUCAACAUAGAACAAUAAAAGUACACUGAAUCGAAUAACGUAAGUUCAAAUUGGCCUGAAUUAACUUGAACUUGUUGACAACCGACUCGGUACCACGGUGACUUAGCUCGACUGGUCACGUUGGUGUAAACGGAAAUACCAUUCCAGGAUUGACCCAGAUAACAGUACGGAGAGCGGCCACGGAGGUUACUCCCUUCCAAUACCCGCGCGCGAUGGGAUUAGUUCAUCCGCCUGUACUUGGAACACAGGGACAACAACAACAACAUACCUAGGUACAGGGGCAAACCCUGGCAAAUAAACGGUGCUGCCCACCGACAACUACGGAAACCAUCCGUGCCCCGGUGGGUACUGAAUCGGAUCUCCCCUCAACCAGCCUCACCGGCUCACUCACAGUACCCGUCAUCUAGUCAAAACAGCUUUGCGGCAACCAGGUGGGCUUACCCUCACGCUUCGGUACCCAAGGCACCACACCCAUUUCACGCGAUGGAGACGUCUCACACACAUAAUUUAGAUAGUUAUCGGCGUGGGCGCCUAUACCCGGGUUAAGCCUCAGCCAGUGCGAUACCCAGUUUUUAUUAUUAAUAAUACAUGAAUUAAUGUUAGGACCAAGCUACUACUUUCUUCAACCAACUAGAAAUACACUAGCACUCACCUAGUGACACCACAGCUACUAUGGUUCAACAACCUAUAAACACCACAAUACGCUCUUAGUGCCCAUUUCCAGUUCGAGGAACACCAGUACAUUAUUAAUGAUGCCAUAACAAUAUGGUUCGAACUAAACUAGGACUCUACUAGUACACUACUAGCGCCACCAUUCCUUACGUACAAAACCAAUGCUCCAUUGGCGACUCGUUCUCAUUCAACCACGUACUAAUACAAUUGGACAACGUACAUCAUAGUAACACAAGUAUACUAGCACGGUACAAUUGCAACAUAGUACAAGUCAACACGUAUGGUACAACAAGACAAUUAUGGUACGAGUACUAACGAAAUUGGAUGAUUACGGUACAACAACAAACAGAACUGACGAAAACCAAUAACACUCGAACGUCCAUGUAAAUUACAUGACUGGACCGCACAGUACGGUCAAACGUCCAGCACAGAAAACGAACGAACAACCCACACAAAGGAUACAAGCGCUCGGUCCUAUUUGCAAGGUCGGUCUCAGGGACGCCAAACCUCAGGUAGUAGCGGCAAGCAACAAGGCGACGGUUAUCAACAAGGCGACGGUCAUCUCCAAGACGACGGAGCUCAACAAAACGACGAAAGUAUCUCGUUGACACCAACCGCAUCACAGCAGCACGGCCACAAUGAAUAAUAUUAUAGCCUCUGGAACAUAAGUAUAAGCCCAACAUUAUCUCUCAACCAAACAAGAUACGAUCCGUCACGGCAUAAGGUCUUGUGAAGUGGAACUAGAGACCCAACCUUAUGCCCACGCAAGGCCAAAGAGACUCGGCCCCACGGUGUCUUCUGAUAGUAGCCCCUGUAAAAAAUCCCCAUAGCCCCUGGAUCAUCCAUAGUAAAAAAGAUCUCCCGCUUGUUCAUAGUUGACCCAACACCGGACGGGUAUCCAAAAAAAUGAACGCGUCGGGUGCUGUA
RNAcentral lists this ribosomal RNA (3099 nucleotides) under Triticum aestivum (bread wheat). Its description in RNAcentral is "partial small subunit ribosomal RNA". The record is from RNAcentral. Lineage: Eukaryota; Viridiplantae; Streptophyta; Magnoliopsida; Poales; Poaceae.